CCUAUCCGUCGUGGGCGUAGGAAACUUGAGAGAAGCUGUCCCUAGUACGAGAGGACCGGGAUGGAUGUACCUCUGGUGCACCAGUUGUCUUGCCAAAGGCAGAGCUGGGUAGCUAAGUACAGAGAAGAUAAGCGCUGAAAGCAUCUAAGCGCGAAGCAAAUCCCAAGAUAAGGUUUCCCAUAGAGUAAUUCUAGUAAGAUCCCUGAAAGACUAUCAGGUAGAUAGGCCAGAGGUGUACAGAUAGCAAUAUCUUUAGCUGACUGGUACUAAUAGAUCGAGGAUUUGAUCUA
Non-coding RNA from Selenihalanaerobacter shriftii, 290 nucleotides. The record is from Rfam. NCBI's taxonomy places the organism in Bacteria, Bacillati, Bacillota, Clostridia, Halanaerobiales, Halobacteroidaceae.